GUGCUCGUUUCAGCAGCACAUACAUUAAAACUGGAACAAUACAGAGAAGAUUAGCAUGGGCCUGGCCCAAGGAUGAUAUGCAAAUUCAUGAAAAGUUCCAGUUGUUC
Molecule: small nuclear RNA, 107 nt
Organism: Rhinolophus ferrumequinum (greater horseshoe bat)
Lineage: Eukaryota; Metazoa; Chordata; Mammalia; Chiroptera; Rhinolophidae
Source: Ensembl